This 497-nucleotide ribosomal RNA is filed under the name uncultured bacterium. Its description in RNAcentral is "partial 16S ribosomal RNA". It matches the Rfam family "Bacterial small subunit ribosomal RNA", at positions 28 to 507 of the family's 1533-position model. The record is from RNAcentral.
GAUGAACGCUGGCGGCGUGCCUAAUACAUGCAAGUCGAGCGAACGGACGAGAAGCUUGCUUCUCUGAUGUUAGCGGCGUACGGGUGAGUAACACGUGGAUAACCUACCUAUAAGACUGGGAUAACUUCGGGAAACCGGAGCUAAUACCGGAUAAUAUUUUGAACCGCAUGGUUCAAAAGUGAAAGACGGUCUUGCUGUCACUUAUAGAUGGAUCCGCGCUGCAUUAGCUAGUUGGUAAGGUAACGGCUUACCAAGGCAACGAUGCAUAGCCGACCUGAGAGGGUGAUCGGCCACACUGGAACUGAGACACGGUCCAGACUCCUACGGGAGGCAGCAGUAGGGAAUCUUCCGCAAAGGGCGAAAGCCUGACGGAGCAACGCCGCGUGAGUGAUGAAGGUCUUCGGAUCGUAAAACUCUGUUAUUAGGGAAGAACAUAUGUGUAAGUAACUGUGCACAUCUUGACGGUACCUAAUCAGAAAGCCACGGCUAACUACGUG